UGGCCCAAAAAUGCUCCAAAAUGCUCCAAAUAGCACUUUGUUGCUAGCUUUGUUAUUUGCACCUACAAACACACAAAAAUAGCUUAAAAUACAUAAUUGACUAAGAAAUAACAACAUAAAUGCACAAGAACAAGCUAACUAAGUCGCAUAAAUAUGCUCCUAUCAAAUUCCCCCACACUUAGCUUUUUCUAGUCCUCGAGCAAAACAAAACAAACGAAACAAACAAAACAUAACCUAGACCUUCCAACAUUUGCCUCAGGGAUUUUCAAUGAAACAUGACAUGCCAAAGAUCACCACUUACAUAGAUUUAAGCAAUCCUUACCCUCGAGCAUACUUAAUCAUAGUCACCAUUCACUAGCUCACAUUUAAUCAAUUAAAACAACAUUUUGAAUGUAGUAACAUGCCUUAGAGAAUUCCCUCAAUUCCUUACUAGAUACUCUCUAUUUUCACACACAUUUUUUUACUACACACCUUACACUAGUUAUAUGUGAGAAGAUUGUUGUAAACAUAGAAGACUAGUACUCACAUAUGUUAUAACAAAGAAAGCACUUUCUGGAGUUAAUAAGCACAAUAAAAGAAAAAUAGCACAAGUAGGAUUUUUAGUAACAAAUUCGUCAAAACUGCCUGUGCAGAUCAGCUGACUUUGGAAGCAAGUUUCGAAUAGUUCAGAAUGAAUUAGAGAAUGAACCUUAUAUUCUUAGAAAGCUACGGAUGUCUAUUUUCUGGACCAUUUCGCGGAUUGUUAAUAUCAUUUUUCUAGAAUAAGUUAUGGCCGUUUUAACACUGAAAGGUUUCCAAGACGCUGAGCAGUUUGUAACUGCAAUGAAAGCAAUAAACCCAAUAAAUCUAGCAGCCAAAACUGAUGCAGCCAAGAACAAGUCAGCUGACACAAAUUCAAAUAUCAGACGAAAUGGAAUUAAAAAUGAGGAUUAAGAGGGAGUAAUUGGCAUAAAGGCUACCUAAAGUGUUACAAUUGUUUUACCACAUUUCCUCUCACUUAUUGUCAUCACUAAAUGGUAGUGGGUGAGUUAAGGAGAAGAAAAUGAUGCAGUAAGAAUGGGUUUAAAAGCAGCAUUGGGGAAGGAAGGAAGGAGAGAGGAGGCCUUAGUCGAUUUCUUUCUGUUCUAUCUUCUCAAACUCAUGUCUAUCUUUUGUUUUUAUUUAAGGAUUGUGUGUAACUAAAUUUUUAGUAGUUAGGGGCUGUUUUGAAGCCCCGAAUAUGAUUGCAAUUUGUUAUGACAUUUCGUUGAAUUACUUCUAUGAAUGGAUGAAAAGUGGUUCACUACUUGUUUCAUUGAUGAAUUCUUUAUUUGUUUUCUAUGGAUGCAUACGUAGUAAGCAUAUCUAGGAUUCUAAUGCUAUGAAUAUGUGUGUGCCUGCCCUUGUCGAAUGAGGACCUACAUAUAUUCUAGAGUAGUACUUGUUAAUUGCGAUUAACAUGUGAAUCAAUUUCUAGGAUAAGUAAGACAACGCCAGUACUUACGAUGCCUUGUGAUGACUCAAACUCUUUUCAUUCUUAAUAAUUUCUACUUGUUAAAUCUAUGAACACGCCAUUCUAGAUUGCAUGCUAGGGACUAAGUUAAGUUGAAAACGCCAUUCUCUUAACAUACUACGUAAGAAAGAGUAAUAGGUUGAGUUCUAACAUUGAGCCAACUUGAACAUCUUCAUCCGGAAAUAAAAGGAAUUUGAAUGAAACAUAACAUGUUUGCAUGAUUAUUUGGUGGUGGAUAGCAAUACCCCUAACUCGUUUUUCUUAAUUUAUGAAUUACUUAAUAUCUGUUUCUGUCCCGUUUUUGUUUGAUUUAAUUUAAAUAGAAAAUCAACUCCAAAAAUCCCAAACAUUUGUAGAAGUGUAGCUCUGUGUGUCUAGUGUUUUCUUAUAAAAUUUUGUAGACUUUAGCUUAGUGUAAGUCAGUCUAAUAAUUAUUUUUCGGUGGCUGGUCAGUAGGGACAACAACCAGUUUUUGUGACAUUUUAAGUAGUUAGAUAAAACAAUCUUCUGCGGGAAAGACCCUUAUUUUCAUAUGCUACAAUUGACAAAUCUUAGCUUUAAUAAGGAAAAUCAAUAGGAUAUUUGUGUGCUACUUUGUGGUGUGCUUUUAAUCCUAUCAUAUGCUACUACUUAGAUGCGAGAACCAGUGACACCAUAUGCACAUACCAAUUUCGAACUCCACAAAUUGAAACACACAACAGUCAAGAUUGAAGUCAAGGGUUGUAACAGGGCUUGGAGAUAAUGGCUAACAAAGAAAUGAUAGGAAUAACAAACGUUCUUACAGUGAUAGCAAGCAAAGCAAUGAAAUAGACACUUGGAAUUCUCUUUAGAAUGCAGAAUCAACUUUUACAUACAAAGGGAAGAUUCAUGCAACACUUAGGGCCAAAUUCAAUGUUUUGGACCCUUUUUUAACAAACAACACUUUAGAGCUCUUGCUCAUACUCUUUUUUCUUUUCUCUACCCGUGCCUUAUUAAGGACUUUGGCACACACACACACACAAUAAUCACUUCCCCCACACUUGUUUUUUUGCAAGAGUUCAACAAAAGGAAAUCCUUCUAAAUUAUGCUUUACUAUGCUUCAAGAACAAGGGUAUGGAUGGUCCUAUUCUAGGCUAGGUGAGGAUAGUGUGGGUAACAAAGAACAUAGGCUACACAAGGCUCAACGGGGUUAAACUUAAACACAUAAUGAACGGGAUAGGCGUUUUGGCUCUUGGCUCACUAAACAACUUCAUCUUGAAUAUAUGUGCUAUGCAAAUCAAUAACAUGCUUUGAAUGAAAUAGGCAUGAGUUCUAGUAUUUGGAACUAAAUGAUGAAACGCAUUCUAAAUAGCAACCAAGCAAAGAAUAAUGAGAUCAUGCAACGACUUUAGAAAACAACGAUGCACAGAUUAUUAACUCUCCAAAUAAACGUUUAGGCUCAAGUCUCACAAGGUUGUAGCGUUCAUUUGAGUUCCUUCUUUCAAGCAUGUUACAAAAACUGAUUUUUUUUUUCUUUAUGAUUGCAUGUGAAUUCAUAAAUUAUAACCACAACCAAGCAUACACCAAAGAGUAAAUCAAAUUUUUAUCCAAGUUUAUAACUCUCUUUAACAGUCAUGUAAUUAAAAACCAAAUCCUCAUCAUUAUGUUGGAAGGUACCCUAAGACACAAAUAAAUAUACAAAAAACAACUCUUUUUGGGUUUUUCAAAACAAUUUUUCAAAUUUUUAUGAGAUUUUCGGAUUUUUAUAUCAAAACACAAUAAAACACUCCAAAACAGCUUAAAAAAACACUUAAAACAGCAAGGAACAACACUAGAAGUAAUGGGUGAUAAACUCCUACGAAUUUCAUGAAAAACAACUUGGUUACCCCCCCCCCCCCACUUAAAUCAAACAUUGUCCUCAAUGUUUCAAGAAUAAACUCACACAAAAACAAGUAAACAAACAAACAACGAAUAAACAUGACAAGUAUGGCAAAGUAAAAACCAGACAGA
This 3460-nucleotide long non-coding RNA is filed under the name Malus domestica (apple). RNAcentral's name for it is "long non-coding RNA (MDOM_LNC019490)". Lineage: Eukaryota; Viridiplantae; Streptophyta; Magnoliopsida; Rosales; Rosaceae. The record is from RNAcentral.